AAUGAAUAAAAAUUAUUACAUUGAUCCGCCAAACCGCAAAUGAAUAAUCUCAAAUUCCUAUAAUCCGCAAAUACCUAAAACAAAAUACACACACAUAACAUAUCACAAACUAUAUCGAUCAACACAUACACAAUAUCAAAAGACAUUAAAUUUGUAAAUCACAAACCUUCAAAACUAACACUGGCCGAGAGAUGUCCGACGUAGAAAACAGUUCGGCGGGGAUCGGAUAUCGGAGAAAAAAGUCCGGCUUCAACCUAAAAUAAAUUUAACAUAUAAAUUAAAUUUCACUAAAUUAACACUACAUAAACACCAAUAAAUACUACAAACAGUACAUAUAUCAUAUUAAAAUGAAUUAAAAUCACAACUAAAUAAACACUACAAACAGUACAUAAACCCCCCAAAAUAAAUUAAAAUCACAAAUGAAGUCAUAUAGUUAAAAUCACAACUAAAUUAAAAUCAUAAUACUAAAUCAAAACAGUACAUAUAUCACAAAUAAAGUCAAUUAAAACACUAAAUAAAUUAAAAUAGUCAAUUACAACACUAUUAUAAACUAAAUAUAUCAUAACACUAAAUAAAGUAAAUAAUUAAAAACCACCAAAUUAUUAACCAAACCAAACUAAAUUCAAAUCAGUAAAUAAUCAUAAAAUACCUAAUUCAUAUAAUCACAUAACUAUAAUUAACUAAAAUAAACAAAACUAAAUCAAACCACCAAUAUCAAAACCCCUAAAUAAAACCCCCAAUAACAAAACCCCUAAAAACAGUAAAUCACAAUUACUAACUACAAAACAGUAAAUCUAAUCCCAAUAUUAAUUAAUCUAAUUAAUAAUUAAAACAGUAAAUCAUAUUAUAUAAUUAAUAACAAAAAACUUAACUAAAAUCAAACCCCCAAAAUAAAACCCCCAAAAUCAAAACCCCAAAAUCAAAAAAAUAAAUCAACCUAACAUCUAACCCUAAAAUUAAACCACCAAAUACAUAUAUAAACCCCCAAAUCAUAAAUACAUAAACCCUCAAUGUCAUAAACUCACAAAUACAUGAACCCCAAUGUCAUACAACCAUAACCCCCUAAUUUAAUCAAAUAACAUACAUCAAAUGAAGAACAAAAUAGAAAAUGUAGAAGAAUAGGAAAAGAUAAUAUAAUUUAUAACAUGGAGAAGAUGGAGAAGAAGAGGAAGUUGAAGAAGAAGGGGAGAAAAUUACCUUGGGAAGGAAUGGCCGUAGAUGCUCGAUCAAAUCGGCCGGAGAUGCUAUAAACGCCCUUGGGGAGAAGUUUGGAGAACUUGGGAGAAGUUUGGAGAAGAUUUGAGAAGUUGGGAGACGUUUGGAGAAGUGGGGAGACAUUGGGAGAGUUUGGGAGAAAUAAGAAAAGUCUGGAAUUUUUUUUAUAUAUAUAAAAAAUCCUGGCGGCCUGGCAGCUGGGAAUUACUUAAGUUUCG
This 1433-nucleotide long non-coding RNA is filed under the name Zostera marina. Its description in RNAcentral is "long non-coding RNA (ZMAR_LNC004269)". The record is from RNAcentral. Lineage: Eukaryota; Viridiplantae; Streptophyta; Magnoliopsida; Alismatales; Zosteraceae.